RNAcentral lists this long non-coding RNA (710 nucleotides) under Lathyrus oleraceus (garden pea). RNAcentral's name for it is "Pisum sativum (pea) long non-coding RNA (PSAT_LNC003777)". The record is from RNAcentral. Lineage: Eukaryota; Viridiplantae; Streptophyta; Magnoliopsida; Fabales; Fabaceae.
AAUAAUGGUCGUCGCAACCAUAUUCGGGUUCGGGAGUCGAUUACGCAAGGGGAAGGUAUUAGCACCCCUUACGUCCGUUGUACUCAACGGGAACCUCUUAGUCUGAUUUUGCUAUUUGACUGUUAAUUGACUGUUACUUGUUUGCUUGCUUCGAGUGAUUAGAAUUGAUGGUAGAUAUGGAUGAAGACCUCGGGAAGGGGGAAAUGGGAGGUUUUUUAUUAGUGUGCUCGCGAAGAUACAGCAAUCUCCUGCCUACGUAUCCUUAUGGUGCAAUAAGGAAAUCAGAGCAAUCGUAGUUCGGGCGACUACGAAUAUUUGGGUGUGUUUUAUUUUGAUGAACGACUGUGUUGGUCGGCGUUCUAACGGCUAAACGCUGGCGUUGUCUACUCUCGGGGGAGGCUCUAGCACUGGUUUGUUGUGCGCAUUAGAAAGGAUUUACAGUGUUCUUUUUGAAAGGGUUUUGGUCACGCGGGGGUGACAGGUUGAAUUGAUGUGUUUGGGUUUGAUUGGUUUCGAUCGCUCGGGGGCGAGAAAUUAGGUUGAUUUGUUGGAGAUGUUUUUUGGAGAACGACGAAAGGUUGAGCAAUGUGGUGUACACCAAUCGUCCAAUUCUUUCGAGGAAUAAUAAGGCGUCCGCCUUCUAUUCCUUUUUCAUUCGAAUUAUUUUGAAAGUUGUGUUUGUGGAUGUUGAAUAUGCACGGUAGUGAGGC